Molecule: ribosomal RNA, 762 nt
Rfam family: 5.8S ribosomal RNA (bases 269-423)
AAAAGUCGUAACAAGGUUUCCGUAGGUGAACUGCGGAAGGAUCAUUAUCGAAUUUCGAGGGGGGGAAGAUGAAGGGGAGACUGUCGCUGGCGUUCGCUGUGCACGUCUUUCUUUUCGUCGACCUUUCUCUUACUCUCACACCUGUGCACACACUGUAGGUCUCUCGAAAGAGGAUCUAUGUUUUCAUCAUCACACACACUGUAUGUCUAGAAUGUAUCACGAUCGUCGACCGGCCUUGCGGUCGGGUGGCGGUCAAAUGAAUAAAUACAACUUUCAGCAACGGAUCUCUUGGCUCUCGCAUCGAUGAAGAACGCAGCGAAUUGCGAUAAGUAAUGUGAAUUGCAGAUUUUCAGUGAAUCAUCGAAUCUUUGAACGCACCUUGCGCUCCUUGGUAUUCCGAGGAGCAUGCCUGUUUGAGUGUCAUGUAAUUCUCAACCAUGUCUCGAUUGAUUUCGAGGCAUGGCUUGGACUUGGGGGCUGCUGGUGGCGAAAGCUGUCAGCUCUCCUGAAAUGCAUUAGCAACGGACAGCAAUGUCUGACGUGCACGGCCUUGACGUGAUAAUGAUCGUCGUCGCUGGAGCGUCGGACGUGCACACGAGUCCGUUUGCUUCGAAUCCUAUUGACUUGAGACUUGGACAUUUCGAGAGAAGCGUCAGCUACUAGUCGGUCAUGAGGCCGGCGAACGUGGGCUUGCUCCGGAGGUCAGAGUCCCUCGUCUUUUUCAUGACUUGACCUCAAAUCAGGUAGGACUACCCGCUGAAC